GAUGAACGCUGGCGGCGUGCCUAAUACAUGCAAGUCGAGCGAACAGACGAUGAUCUUGCUCCUCUGACGUUAGCGGCGGACGGGUGAGUAACACGUGGAUAACCUACCUAUAAGACUGGGAUAACUUCGGGAAACCGGAGCUAAUACCGGAUAACAUGUUGAACCGCAUGGUUCAACAGUGAAAGACGGUUUUGCUGUCACUUAUAGAUGGAUCCGCGCCGCAUUAGCUAGUUGGUAAGGUAACGGCUUACCAAGGCCACGAUGCGUAGCCGACCUGAGAGGGUGAUAGGCGACACUGGAACUGAGACACGGUCCAGAGUCCUAAGGGAGGCAGCAGUAGGGAAUCUUCCGCAAUGGGCGAAAGCAUGACGGAGCAACGCCGCGUGAGUGAAGAAGGUCUUCGGAUCGUAAAACUCUGUUAUUAGGGAAGAACAAAUGUGUAAGUAAAUAUGCACGUAUUGACGGUACCUAAUCAGAAAGCCACGGCUAACUACGUG
RNAcentral lists this ribosomal RNA (497 nucleotides) under uncultured bacterium. Its description in RNAcentral is "partial 16S ribosomal RNA". It matches the Rfam family "Bacterial small subunit ribosomal RNA", at positions 28 to 507 of the family's 1533-position model. The record is from RNAcentral.